This 74-nucleotide transfer RNA is filed under the name Candidatus Midichloria mitochondrii IricVA. It matches the Rfam family "tRNA". Rfam says of the family: Transfer RNA (tRNA) molecules are approximately 80 nucleotides in length. Their secondary structure includes four short double-helical elements and three loops (D, anti-codon, and T loops). The record is from Rfam by way of RNAcentral. Lineage: Bacteria; Pseudomonadati; Pseudomonadota; Alphaproteobacteria; Rickettsiales; Candidatus Midichloriaceae.
GGGGGUGUAGCUCGGUUGGUUGGAGCGCCGGCCUGUCACGCCGGAGGUCGCGGGUUCGAGCCCCGUCAUCCCCG